AAGCUCGUAGUUGGAUUUCUGUUAAUUGUUUAUAUGAUUUAUCUUAUAAUAUUUAUAUAGCAUUAACAUAAUUCAUAUUACUAUUUUUAGUAUAUGAAAUUUUACUUUGAGAAAAUUAGAGUGCUUAAAGCAGGCUUUUGCCUUGAAUACUCCAGCAUGGAAUAAUAUUAAAGAUUUUUAUCUUUCUUAUUGGUUCUAAGAUAGAAAUAAUGAUUAAUAGGGACAGUUGGGGGCAUUUGUAUUUAACAGUCAGAGGUGAAAUUCUUAGAUUUGUUAAAGACAAACUAGUGCGAAAGCAUUUGCCAAGGAUGUUUUCAUUAAUCAAGAACGAAAGUUAGGGGAUCGAAGACGAUCAGAUACCGUCGUAGACUUAACCAUAAACUAUGCCAACUAGAGAUUGGAGGUUGUUCCUUACUCCUUCAGCACCUUA
This 430-nucleotide ribosomal RNA is filed under the name Cryptosporidium environmental sequence. Its description in RNAcentral is "SSU rRNA". It matches the Rfam family "Eukaryotic small subunit ribosomal RNA", at positions 624 to 1090 of the family's 1831-position model. Lineage: Eukaryota; Apicomplexa; Conoidasida; Eucoccidiorida; Cryptosporidiidae. The record is from RNAcentral.